UUUAUUACGAAAAUUUAAAGUUAUCAAAACUAACAUCAUUAGUUUUCAAACAAAAAUACUUGUAUCAACUAAGAACAAAGAUUUUGUUAGUUUUAGCUUUAUUUAUAAAAAUUAUUAUUAUUCACCAGAAAGAUUAAACAAAACUUUCAAAUUUAUUAUAAUCAAAAGGUUAAUCCUUAUGGCAUUGCCAAAGGUCUUUAAAUACAUUAAAAAAAAAGAAAACCUAAUGAGUCUUAUGGACUUUUAAUCUUAAAC
This 255-nucleotide long non-coding RNA is filed under the name Lathyrus oleraceus (garden pea). RNAcentral's name for it is "Pisum sativum (pea) long non-coding RNA (PSAT_LNC002267)". Lineage: Eukaryota; Viridiplantae; Streptophyta; Magnoliopsida; Fabales; Fabaceae. The record is from RNAcentral.